GACGAACGCUGGCGGCGUGCUUAACACAUGCAAGUCGAGCGGUAAGGCCCUUUCGGGGGUACGACGAGCGGCGAACGGGUGAGUAACACGUGGGUAACCUGCCCUCAGCUCUGGGAUAAGCCCGGGAAACUGGGUCUAAUACCGGAUAUGACCUCGUAUCGCAUGGUGCGGGGUGGAAAGUGUUCAGUGGCUGAGGAUGGGCCCGCGGCCUAUCAGCUUGUUGGUGGGGUAGUGGCCUACCAAGGCGACGACGGGUAGCCGGCCUGAGAGGGCGACCGGCCACACUGGGACUGAGACACGGCCCAGACUCCUACGGGAGGCAGCAGUGGGGAAUAUUGCGCAAUGGGCGAAAGCCUGACGCAGCGACGCCGCGUGAGGGAUGACGGCCUGUGU
Molecule: ribosomal RNA, 393 nt
Filed under: uncultured bacterium
Lineage: Bacteria
Description: bacterial SSU rRNA
Rfam family: Bacterial small subunit ribosomal RNA
Source: RNAcentral